GUGCCAGCCGCCGCGGUAAUACGGAGGGUGCAAGCGUUACUCGGAAUCACUGGGCGUAAAGCGCGCGCAGGCGGCCUUUUAAGUUGGAUGUGAAAGCCUAUGGCUCAACCAUAGAACUGCAUCCAAAACUAUUAGGCUAGAGUGUGGGAGAGGAAGAUGGAAUUAGUUGUGUAGGGGUAAAAUCCGUAGAGAUAACUAGGAAUACCAAAAGCGAAGGCAAUCUUCUGGAACAUUACUGACGCUGAGGCGCGAAAGCGUGGGGAGCAAACAGGAUUAGAUACCCUGGUAGUCCACGCCCUAAACGAUGAAUGUUAGUCGUCGGGUAGCUAGUCUAUUCGGUGAUGCAGCUAACGCAUUAAACAUUCCGCCUGGGGAGUACGGUCGCAAGAUUAAAACUCAAAGGAAUAGACGGGGACCCGCACAAGUGGUGGAGCAUGUGGUUUAAUUCGAAGAUACGCGAAGAACCUUACCUAGCC
RNAcentral lists this ribosomal RNA (476 nucleotides) under uncultured Sulfurovum sp. RNAcentral describes it as "bacterial SSU rRNA". It matches the Rfam family "Bacterial small subunit ribosomal RNA", at positions 505 to 980 of the family's 1533-position model. Lineage: Bacteria; Pseudomonadati; Campylobacterota; Epsilonproteobacteria; Campylobacterales; Sulfurovaceae. The record is from RNAcentral.